Molecule: long non-coding RNA, 327 nt
Filed under: Gossypium barbadense (sea-island cotton)
Lineage: Eukaryota; Viridiplantae; Streptophyta; Magnoliopsida; Malvales; Malvaceae
Description: long non-coding RNA (GBAR_LNC021636)
Source: RNAcentral
CGGUAACAGAUAGGAUAGUGGAUGUAGUCAAAGUCACAUUAGAGGACAACCUUGUGGAUUUAUUUGCCAAGACUCUAGUGGUUAGGAAUUUUGAAAAACAUAUAGAGGUUAAGGGAAUAUGAAAUAUGACUCAUCUACUUCAUUAGGGAAAGUGAGAGACUGUUGGAAUCUAAUUGCCUUAGUGUAGUGAUUUCGUCUAUGUACUUGUAAGUUUUUGAACAAAUUAGUUUAAUAAUAUCGAUCAAUAUCAUUAGUAUCUUUUGUAUAUUGUCCUCAAUAGUUUUUGAAUGCAAAACAAAAUAAAAGAAAAUAUUGACUCACUAAUUA